This 1827-nucleotide long non-coding RNA is filed under the name Homo sapiens (human). Its description in RNAcentral is "HSALNT0310439". The record is from RNAcentral. Lineage: Eukaryota; Metazoa; Chordata; Mammalia; Primates; Hominidae.
GGCAAAUACCCGGUGGAAUCCCGCCUGGUUCGGAAGCUCCGCCCCCUGGCGGGAGGGCCAAGCGGGUUUCACCCCGGCCUCGCGGAAGGGGCGCGACCACCGUAUGUCCUGUUCCUGCGCUUCCCAAGCUGGGUAGAAACGGCGAGAGGCUGGGGGUUAGAAACGACAGGUUCCCGGCGGGCUGUGCCGGGGCUUCGCUGUGUGACCUUGGGCUGGCGUCUGGGCUCUCUGGGCCCUUGUUUCCGCGAGUUAAACGUAGGGGCGGGGGAGUUUCUCUGGCCCUGCCGCCUGUGACCUAAGGAGCCCCGUGACCUCUCCGACCCGAGCCCACCCCCGGCCCAGUCUGCGAGCAGCUCCGGGACAAGCACUCCCGGCGAAGACAUGUAGGCUCUCAGAGCCUGCGUUUCCCUCUGUAGAGCAGGCCUAGUUACUGUCUUCAGGGUGCACGCGUCUCCGUCCCCGACCCGCACCCUCACCGCCGGGGUUGCAAGCUCGAAGAGGGCAGAGGUGACAUCUCUGUUUACUGCAUGUACCCAGCACAGUGCCUGGCACCAAUCUGCAUCCACUAAACAUUUGUGCCUGGAUGAACACAGCCUGCAUGGGCUUCAUCUUCAUUAUUUGUUCUUAUGUCUGUCUCCACCACUAAGUGUGACCUUUCAGAGCCCAGCAUCCAGAUCCAACCUGCCUAUGGGUCCAGACCUAGCUCAAGACCUUAAAGACUGGCCGGGUGAGGUGGCUCACGCCUGUAAUCCCAGCACUUUGGGAGCCUGAGGAGGGUGGAUCACUUGACGUCAAGAGUUCGUGACCAGCCUGGGCAACAUGGUGAAACCCCAUCUCUACUAAAAAUACAAAAAUUAGCCAGGCGUGGUGGCAGGUACCUGUAAUCCCAGCUACUGGGGAGGCUGAGGAAGGAGAAUCAUUUAAAUCCGGGAGGUGGAGUUUGCAGUGAACUGAGAUUGUGCCACUGCACUCCAGCCUGGGCGACAGAGCAAGACUACAUCUCAAAAAAACAAAAAAAAUAAAAAAACAAAAAACACACACACAAACAGAAAGAAAUGUGCUUCAUGUUACUCCCACCUGAAAAGUUUUCCCAGCUAAUGGAACCUACACCAGAAGCUGUGUGAAAUAAGCCAUCCAUGGACUGGACAUUGCAGCUUCAGUGACAAGUAGGAAUGAAUUUGGCAACAUGGGAGGGUAAGGGAAGCAUUUGAAAAUUUAACAAGAUUUGGCCACCAGUGUCUGAGUUUUAACUGUAGUAAAAACCAGCCAGGCCGGGCGCAGUGGCUCACGUCUGUAAUCCCAGCACUUUGGGAGGCCGAGGCAGGCAGAUCACCUGACGUCAGGAGUUCGAGACCAGCCUGGCCAACAUGGUGAAACUCCGUCUCUGCUAAAAAAUACAAAAAUUAGCCAGGCGUGGUGGCAGGAGCCUUAAUCCCAGCUACUUGGGAGGCAGAGGCAGGAGAAUCAUUUGAACCUGGGAGGCAGAGGUUGCAGUGAGGUGAGAUCGAGCCAUUGCACUCAAGCCUGGGGCACAAGAGCAAGACUUCUCUCACACAUACACACACACACACACACACACACACACACACACAAACACCAGCCAGGCACGGUGGCUCAUGCCUGUAAUCCCAGCACUUUGGGAGGCCGAGGUUGGCCGAUCACCUGAGGUCAGGAGUUCAACACCAGCCUGGACAGCAUGGUGAAACCUCAUCUCUACUAAAAACACAAAAUUAGCCAGGCAUGGUGGCGGGCACCUGCAAUCCCAGCUGCUCGGGAGGCUGAGGCAGGAGAAUUGCUUGAACCCAGGGGGCAGUGAGCCAAGAUCAC